AGCCGACUGGGGAGAUGGGACUAAAACAAUUUGCAAUGUUUAGUCUGUGGUUUUGUGACAACCUAGUGAUGUUAAGAGAAAAUUAAAUACUCGAUAAAAUAGCUUAUUUGAAAAGAUUACAAGCGAAGGCGUCUAGAUUUGGGCUUCUCCUGCAACAUUAAACAUGAGGAUUCACUGUCCAAAUAUGGGUUCCGCAUAUAAGACUCCGAAUUGCAUUUGGUUCCGCUUUCCGACACAGUUAUCUUCUUGGGCGUGGAUUAAAUGAAGAUCUGGGUGUUGAAAGACAUUUACAUAAGUGCUGUUUGUGAACAGGAAGGCCAGUUCUUCUAUUAUCGCCAGAACAUUUAAAUCUUAAUGACUGGCAUUGUUGUCUAAAAGACGGUGUUUUUCCUGCUGAGAAACUGCAUUAGAUUCAAGAAACGAAGCUCAUUUCCAUUCUCUCAGCAGUCUUCUCUAGAAAUGACAUGCAGUGCUUGAAACUGUUUAUUUCCAAAUUCAGGCCUCCCUCGCAUCAGUCAUCAGCUUCAAUUACCAGUUUUCCGGAGCCGAGCCAUCAGGCAGUCUGACACC
RNAcentral lists this long non-coding RNA (570 nucleotides) under Homo sapiens (human). RNAcentral's name for it is "novel transcript". The record is from RNAcentral. Lineage: Eukaryota; Metazoa; Chordata; Mammalia; Primates; Hominidae.